AGAGUCCUGCUGCUAAGAGAACCAUGGAUGGCUUGUGAUUGUGAGGCAGUGCAGAGACGUGCUGCCUCCACACCUUUCCUGAUGCUGAGGACCAGCUGCUGUAUCAAAUUCUAUUAGAGGAGCAAACACCAUACCAUAUCUCCCUAAAGCAUCUUGCAUCUAUCCACUCAAUGUAUAACAGGAAUGAAGGAGAAGUCGAUUAGUUGCUGUUAAUGGUGGUGUGGAGACCAGAGAAGUUCCUCUCCUACUGUAGGAUUUUGAUAUUCCACAUAAUUUUUAUUAAGAUCUUUAGUUUGUUUGGUUUCAGAGGCAAAGGAUUUGAUUUGUAAAUUCUGGGAUGAGGAAAUCGCAGCACAUGGGAAACUUUUCCAGAUGUUCUCUAAAGAUAGACAUUUACUAUUUCCAAGGAGGUGGCUUAUUAGCAAGUUCUCCCUCUAUUUCCAGUUAUUAUAACGAUGAGAUUCACAUACUAGUGGAAAGGACUUAAAGAACUGAUGAUAUCAUAAAAGAGUGGAAACAUUUAAUUUAUUUUUAUCCCAUUUAUCUAGAGUAUGUUUAGCAAGGGGAGUGCAAUAACAUUGUUGGUUUUUUUCUGCUUUAGACAUGCAGAUGGCAUUGCCAUUUGGAAAACGACAGAUAUAGCUUUGCUCAGGAUCCACCUGUGAUGGGGUACACAAACCCCACAGUGGAAAAGAAGGGAGCAACUCUGGGCCCAGAGGGUUCCACCCUGCAGCACGUGCAAAGCCUGCACAAGCUGCAGGCGGAACUUAAAAAGGGAAGCAGAGCAGCUCAGGAGGGAGGCAGUCGGUGGAAGGGGGCAGACCUGUGACCUUGGGAAGAACUCUUGCUGCCUGAUGCCUGGAGAUACUGAUUCAACCAAGCUUGAAAAAGAGAGACUGGUGACACUUGAAGAUGAGAAACCUAAAUUUUGUGUUCAGUUCUUUACUUUACCCUGGGAGAAGAGGGGACACUGGUGGGAGUACCUUCAGGGAGGCAGUUGCACAGCACCCCAAAAUACAGGGCUUAACUGCCUACCAUUGGGCCACUGGUUCAGAGCCUGGUGAAGAGUGUGGGCCCAGGUGCAAGAGUCCAGACUCUAAGACCCCGAUCCCGAAGAGAAGCCCUGAAGCCCUUGCUGAUUUCUGAAGACUUACACAUUUAUGGAAAGGGGUGGACUUGAAUGUGUGACCCAGCUGGAGGGCUGAGUUGCGAAAAGGACAGUGCUCCACACGGUGGAGCUAUUGUGAAAAAGGAUACACCUGAGACAACCUGGCAUACCUCACCCUGACCAGUAGGGAUCACUGCCACUGUGUACCUCCGACAGUAUGUACCACCCUUCACACCACCCAAAGUUUAUCCACUGGACUCCAAAUAUUAUACCCUCUGUUCCUGAGCUGUGGGGUGCACAGCUGGGAGUGAUUAACUGACUUUGCACAUUUUAUUUUGUUGGGUUAUUUUAAGAUUUUACAAUUUAAAAUAAUGUUAUUUUGUUCAGAAAUAACAGAGCUAUCCUAUAAAACUGAGAACAUAGAAGAGAUAUUACAACAUAACCAUAGGAAAAUAACAUUCAUGCAGGUAUAUGGCAAAAAGAAGAAGAGAAGAUCUCACAGACAAAAAGAGGUCCACAUGUGUGAGAAGACCACACCUGUGUCACAAUAAUCCAGCUGCUCCAGUGCCUAUUUUACUAUCACUGCAAGACCAAAACAGAAGCAAAUUAUGCAUUGAUAAUUGAUAUAGAAUUUCUUGAUUCAAAAUUCAUGACAAAUAAUUAAUUUUUAAAAAUCCAGAGUUAAAUUAAAGCAGUUAUCCAUAUCUAUUGUUUCAAUGGGUGAAGGUUGGUUUACUAUACUAUUUGGUACUGUUUAAGCAUCUGUUUAGUUGUCUGACAUAAGUAGCUUUUUGACAUCAGCAAACAUGAACAAAAUCUGUCAUCUGUUGCACUGGAAUAUUAUUUUUGUGAGAUGUUUAUCAGAAUUAAUCAGAACAAUAUUAAAUAAAGU
Molecule: long non-coding RNA, 2000 nt
Organism: Trachemys scripta elegans
Lineage: Eukaryota; Metazoa; Chordata; Testudines; Emydidae
Exons: 3
Source: RefSeq, a predicted model, not a curated record